AGAAAUUUAGUUAAAAUAAUAUUAAUUUGUCAAAUUAAAGUAGAUUUUAUU
RNAcentral lists this transfer RNA (51 nucleotides) under Ebrechtella tricuspidata. RNAcentral describes it as "tRNA-Asp". The record is from RNAcentral. Lineage: Eukaryota; Metazoa; Arthropoda; Arachnida; Araneae; Thomisidae.